GACGAACGCUGGCGGCGUGCUUAACACAUGCAAGUCGAACGGAAAGGCCCUGCUUUUGUGGGGUGCUCGAGUGGCGAACGGGUGAGUAACACGUGAGUAACCUGCCCUUGACUUUGGGAUAACUUCAGGAAACUGGGGCUAAUACCGGAUAGGAGCUCCUGCUGCAUGGUGGGGGUUGGAAAGUUUCGGCGGUUGGGGAUGGACUCGCGGCUUAUCAGCUUGUUGGUGGGGUAGUGGCUUACCAAGGCUUUGACGGGUAGCCGGCCUGAGAGGGUGACCGGCCACAUUGGGACUGAGAUACGGCCCAGACUCCCACGGGAGGCAGCAGUGGGGAAUAUUGCACAAUGGGCGGAAGCCUGAUGCAGCAACGCCGCGUGCGGGAUGACGGCCUUCGGGUUGUAAACCGCUUUCGCCUGUGACGAAGCGUGAGUGACGGUAAUGGGUAAAGAAGCACCGGCUCACUACGUG
RNAcentral lists this ribosomal RNA (468 nucleotides) under uncultured bacterium. RNAcentral describes it as "partial 16S ribosomal RNA". It matches the Rfam family "Bacterial small subunit ribosomal RNA", at positions 28 to 507 of the family's 1533-position model. The record is from RNAcentral.